RNAcentral lists this ribosomal RNA (492 nucleotides) under uncultured bacterium. RNAcentral's name for it is "partial 16S ribosomal RNA". It matches the Rfam family "Bacterial small subunit ribosomal RNA", at positions 29 to 507 of the family's 1533-position model. The record is from RNAcentral.
AGUGAACGCUGGCGGUAGGCCUAACACAUGCAAGUCGAACGACAGCACAGUAAGAGCUUGCUCUUACGGGUGGCGAGUGGCGGACGGGUGAGGAAUACAUCGGAAUCUACUUUUUCGUGGGGGAUAACGUAGGGAAACUUACGCUAAUACCGCAUACGACCUACGGGUGAAAGCAGGGGAUCUUCGGACCUUGCGCGAUUGAAUGAGCCGAUGUCGGAUUAGCUAGUUGGCGGGGUAAAGGCCCACCAAGGCGACGAUCCGUAGCUGGUCUGAGAGGAUGAUCAGCCACACUGGAACUGAGACACGGUCCAGACUCCUACGGGAGGCAGCAGUGGGGAAUAUUGGACAAUGGGCGCAAGCCUGAUCCAGCCAUACCGCGUGGGUGAAGAAGGCCUUCGGGUUGUAAAGCCCUUUUGUCGGGAAAGAAAAGCAGCAGGUUAAUACCCCGCUGUUCUGACGGUACCCAAAGAAUAAGCACCGGCUAACUUCGUG